AAAUACAGGUGCCAGCAGCCGCGGUAAUACCUGAGUGACAAGCAUUAUUCGCAAUGACUGGGUGUAAAGGAUGCGUAGGAGAUUUUAAAAAGUAACUGACUAAAUUCUUGGAAAAGAUGGGCUUUUACUGUUUAUAAAUAUUUGAGUAUCUAUAGAGAGUUGAGGUGUGUCUAAAUAGUGAUAAAAUACUAAGAUUUAGCCAUUCUUGCCAAUCGUAUAAGUAACGGCUCUUAUAGAUUCUGACUCUGAGGCAUUAAAGUAAGGGAAAUAAACAGGAUUAGAGACCCUGGUAAUCCUUACCCUAAAUGAUGAUUAUUUAAAGUUAACGCUAAAUAAUCCACCAGGUGAGUAUAGUUGCAAAAUUCAAAGUUAACAGAAUUGGCGGGGGUUAGCACGAAUGGUGGAACAUGUGGUUUAAUGCGAUAAUCCACGUAGAACCUUACCACAAUUUAAAAAGCAUGAUAGG
RNAcentral lists this ribosomal RNA (466 nucleotides) under Klebsiella pneumoniae. RNAcentral describes it as "bacterial SSU rRNA". It matches the Rfam family "Bacterial small subunit ribosomal RNA", at positions 497 to 997 of the family's 1533-position model. Lineage: Bacteria; Pseudomonadati; Pseudomonadota; Gammaproteobacteria; Enterobacterales; Enterobacteriaceae. The record is from RNAcentral.